This 1836-nucleotide long non-coding RNA is filed under the name Helianthus annuus (common sunflower). Its description in RNAcentral is "hypothetical non coding rna". The record is from RNAcentral. Lineage: Eukaryota; Viridiplantae; Streptophyta; Magnoliopsida; Asterales; Asteraceae.
CCUCUUCUUCCCAAAAAUUUUAGAUUUCCCUCUCAUAUUCACAAACAAUUGGAAAUUUAUCUCUCAUAAUCGAUCGUAUCCUCCGCUCAAUCCUCACUGCAGCCCUCGACAGGCGUUGUGUUCGAAUGGUCCAUCUCCAGAUCUCGUGUAGUUAAAAGAUAAGUUUUCUCAUAUGCUUAAUUUCUGUUGUUUAUAAAAAAACCGACUAGGAAUGGAGUUGCUAGUAUUGAAAUCCUAAACUGGACAUGACUAGACGGGUUGUGAUCGCGGGUUCAACCCGAACCCGAUAAUCGUAUCAUACAUAUGAACCCGAACACGACCCGAAGUUUCGUGGGUAACCCGAACACGACCUGUUAAACCCUAAAUCUUUUAAUUUUUGUCUGAAAUUAAUAUAUUAAAAUUAGAAUUUACUUAAAAACACAAAUGCUCGAAAAUCGAAAUGCCCAAUUAACUUCAAUAUGCCUUCAGCAACAUAUCUUGAAAAAAAUCAGUCCUGGUAUGAAUUUUUUUUUUCUUAAAAUCUAAUGGAAUCACCAAAAAACAUCAUGGCUCAAAAAGGAACACCCAAAGCUCAUCCGACUGCACUAAGAUCUUGAGUUACAACAAUUCUUUGUUCUAUACACAUUACAAAGUAGUUUGAUUAAACAAAUUGUUUGUUUGUUUGUUUACUAAGAUUUGAUUGGAAACUUAUUCCUUAGUAGUUAUAAAUUAAUCAAAUGCUACAUAAGUUCCUUACUUAAGAACUUCUUAGUGAUUUGGUGGUCUAUCAGUAACUUGCUAAAGCUACUUAGACCAUGUGUAGUGGGGCGUUUUCUUUAAAAAAAAUUCAAAAAAAACGCCCUAUAACGCCUACCCCUCCAUUACAUGGGGCGUUACUUUUCAAAAAUUUGGAAAAAAAGUUCAGGCGGCGUUUUCUUUAAAACGCUCAAAUGGAACAAAGGGAGGAAUCUUGACCUUUGACUAACCAAUAGGAAUUAAUAUUAGUGGAUGACUUUGAAUAUAGUUUUUUUUUUUUUUUUUUUUUUAAUCCUUUUUAAUAAUUGGAAGGGGCAUUAUGGGGCAUUAUACCCACUACACCACUUUUGCUAUAAUGCCCCCUUGCUGACUAGGACGCCACGUGUCGUAUAAUGCCCCAUGGUGGGGGCAUUAUAAGGUUCUACCACUACACAUGGUCUUAUUGGAUGUUUAAAUGUCAAAUAGAAACCAAAUGUAUGAAUUAGGUUUAUAACAAUAAAAGUUUGGAACGGGCCCCAAAUUUUAACUUUAUUUUGGGGCUCCAAAAUGGUUUCUAGGAAAUCGAUCUGAAGAACUAUGUAGUUAUACUAUUAAAUGUUCGUUGCCAUUGCUGCUGAAUUUUUGAUUGACUAUAACAUUCUGUGCGUUUUAUAAUAGAACACAAAUUAAGAGCUAAAGUAAGUGAAUUUGGUGAAGUUGCAUUUGCUCAUUGUAGCACUAGGAAGCUUUCUCAGGCUUGUAAAUCUCAAGGUGGCUUUUUUAUUAGUGAACAGGAUAUUAAGGGCCUACCUUAAUUAUAGGUUGAAUAUAGUGAGUUGGUUGAUGCGAUGACAACAAGCAGUAAGUGCAGAGAACUAUGAAGUGGGAAAUAUGAUUGCUUAGAAAGGGUUAACACGACGAUUAUUUUACUCGCAAACAAGAUUGUGUAAGAGAUUCACGAAUGUAAUGAAGUUUUGAGUUUCUGUUCAAACAUUUAAUGAUUAUUUGUUUUGUAUGUUUGGUAUUUAGACAUAGGUUGACGCUUAUUAGACUUUUGUUUGCAAACAUUGGAAUCUUUGGAAGAUGAUUGAUUGAACUUUUUAAUUGAAGUGAUUAUAUUAU